AUCAAUACCUACCUUCACUCUUAACAUCUAAUGAAUUUGGUCCUAUAUUGAGCCCUUAUAAAAUCUUGGCACACCUAUUAUUCACAAAAGUGGAAGGGAUAUCUCGAAAGUAUUGGUAUCAUGGGAUUCAUUGCUAGAGGCUGAAAAUUCGUGGAACAAAUCAGAAGACACGAAGAAGGUGAUAAGUAUUCAAUAUGAGUUAGUUUUGGUGUUAAUUUGGUAUUUAUCUUGUUUGGAUUAUGUUAAAUAUUUAUAGUAAUCAUCCCAAUUUUACUUGUUUUGCAGGUUUUGAUGAAUAGAGAGUCAAAGGUGAAAUAUGAAGAAAACAAAGGAAUUAUAAGCAAAAUAUAACAAACUGACUUGAGCGCGACUGUAGCGUGGAAUUUGAGGCUUGAACCACACGAAGAAACUCAUCUUGGAAGGAAACCUCAAGCUCUGACCUGAGGUUAAAACCAUGAAAAAUAUUUCUCCUAGAAGUUAUCUCAAAGGGCUCCAGCAUAGAAGCACAAGGCCUAAGCCAUAUAAAAAGUCCACCUUGGGAGGAAACCUCACAACUAGAGUCAUGACGCCACUGCUGAAGCCACACUUUGGAAUGUCUAUAAAAACAUAAUUUCCUCUCUGUUUUGAGAGAGCCUUCUGGAGACUUUUUGCCAGACUGUCUAAAGAGAUUUAGAGAGAGACUUUAGAGAGUCUUCUCACAUACUUCCUUUAUAUUUUAAAGAACAUCAUUAGAGGACUAAGAGAUGACACUACAAGAAAUAUGCAAAUUACCGAAGGAAAACUACCGAAGGUCUCUAUGCCGUCGGUAAAGGAUUGGUGAAUUAAUUUACCGAAGGAUAUAUGACCCUCGGUAAGGUGCUCGAGUAAUCAGACUCCAAACCUGGGUUUCUGCUCGCCCAAAUUUCAUUUCGAGCCAAAAUUUCUCUUGCUUUCUUUGAGAGUUCGGACCCUCGCAACCAUUCCCCUUCCUUCGAGCCAAAUACACCUUCCGUUUAGCCAGAGAACCCUCGCCCNCANCAAGACAACCCUCGGCCAAGCAUUCUCCCUCGUUCGUGCAAGCAGUCGCAGACCCCCAUCUUUGGUGGCACUUGGUUCUGUCGUUGGAGGGUUCAUUUGCACAGAGGCACUUCGUUGGAGGGUUUCGCAGAGUGUNCAUCUCUUUCCCUCACGUGCAGAGGUAGAGCCAUUNGUAGAGGAUCAUUCGCAUAAUCGGUAAGUGUGUCAACGAUUUUCUUGAUUUCUUGUGGUCAAGGGUUGGUCNUCAAUGAUUGACACUAUGCUUAGUAAAUAUUGGUUGAGGGACUUUGCUACGAGGUUUUGGAGCUCACUUUUCCUUUGCUAUCGUGGUGAACGAAGGUUGCCGAAGUCCACCUUGCAUUCUUCGAGGGAGGCUGUGGAGAGUUCCUGCUGUGGAGAGUUCCUACUGUGGAGGCCAUUGGUGAGGCACGUUGAAGGUGAACAGAGACGUGAUUCUUUACUGCAACUUGAUUAGUUGGUGUGUNCAUAUUUCCCUUUGCUGUAUUAGGUAGUCCAUUCAAGCUGUCAUUGAGGAAUCACACCGAAGUUUUUGUGAUCCUAGACUCUAGAUGCCAAGGGUGGACCUAAAGUUCCAUUCAAAGAGAACUCUUUUGAUUACUUGCAGCAUCAUAUUUAAUAAUAAAACCAUUACAAGAAAGGGAUAAAGUGGUGCAAUCAAACUUCAACACAUUUAAAUCAUCUAGAAGUCAAUCAAUUUUAAUCCAAACUGUUUUAUAACGUCUUUUACUUUGUUUUCAUGAACCAACUUUGUUUGUAUAUCUUACAACCCAUUUAUUGUUUUAUCAACAAUCAAACUAGUUAGAACAUUGUGUUUUCGACCAAAUUCAUGUGAAUAUGACACUUGUUAUAUUACAAAAUAUUUAGUAUAGUUGUUGGUAUAUUUGAUUGUUGUGUGGGCUCCUAAUAGAAGGCUUAUCCAAACUUCAACCUCGAGGACAAGUUUAUUUUCAAAAAGGAGAGUAUUAUAACAAAUAUUAAAAAAGGUGUUAUGAAGGAGGGUGAGUGGGUUAAGCAUAUUGGCUACCUGACUAACAGAGAAAACAAAAAGGGUGCAUCCCAACUCUCGUGGUUAUGAUUUCAGAUUUUUCUCUUAUUGAAUGCACAAUGAAUGAGAAUGUCUAAGACUUGGAUACUUUAUGACAUUUAUCCCUUGUGGAAUUAGUUUUUAUUUUCUAAAAGCUUGCUAAAACCAUGAGUUGGUUUUUCAUAUAUAUUGGAAUAAAUAUUUAUCCUAUUUUGCUGCAAGACAAUUUUUAGAAUUUUUUACUGUUUUAUUGGUUUAGCAUUAUUCUAGUGACUCUUCCUAAGAGACAAGAAGGUAUAUUUAGGGUCGUAUUUUCUUCAAAUAAGUUAGAUAUAUAGAGUAUUCAUUUUUUGAUAUUCACCCAUUUGAGAUUGCAUUACAAGAAAAAGGUUUGAAUUUCACACCUUCCAAUCCUACUUGUUAUAUAUUUUUCUU
This is a long non-coding RNA of Vigna radiata var. radiata (mung bean), 2497 nucleotides long. RefSeq lists it as uncharacterized. Lineage: Eukaryota; Viridiplantae; Streptophyta; Magnoliopsida; Fabales; Fabaceae. The record is from RefSeq and is a predicted model, not a curated record. The transcript is spliced from 3 exons.